Molecule: ribosomal RNA, 301 nt
Filed under: uncultured bacterium
Lineage: Bacteria
Description: partial 16S ribosomal RNA
Rfam family: Bacterial small subunit ribosomal RNA
Source: RNAcentral
CAGUAGCCGCGGGAAUACAGAGGGUGCAAGCGUUAAUCGGAAUUACUGGGCGUAAAGCGCGCGUAGGUGGUUUGUUAAGUCUGCUGUGAAAUCCCCGGGCUCAACCUGGGAAUGGCAGUGGAUACUGGCAAGCUAGAGUGUGUCAGAGGAUGGUGGAAUUCCCGGUGUAGCGGUGAAAUGCGUAGAGAUCGGGAGGAACAUCAGUGGCGAAGGCGGCCAUCUGGGACAACACUGACGCUGAGGCACGAAAGCGUGGGGAGCAAACAGGAUUAGAUACCCGCGUAGUCCCUGUCUCUUAUAC